GCCANAUGAUGUCAACAUAGCUUUCAAGAGCACUUUGUGCGAAGAUGACUCUGAUCUAUCACCCAAGACUGAUGGCU
RNAcentral lists this small nucleolar RNA (77 nucleotides) under Salvator merianae (Argentine black and white tegu). RNAcentral's name for it is "Small nucleolar RNA SNORD83 (ENSSMRG00000013157.1)". It matches the Rfam family "Small nucleolar RNA SNORD83". Rfam says of the family: U83 (SNORD83) and U84 (SNORD84) are members of the C/D class of snoRNA which contain the C (UGAUGA) and D (CUGA) box motifs. They act as guanine methylation guides but lack complementarity to ribosomal RNA. Lineage: Eukaryota; Metazoa; Chordata; Lepidosauria; Squamata; Teiidae. The record is from RNAcentral.